Alosa alosa (allis shad) is the source of this 987-nucleotide long non-coding RNA. RefSeq lists it as uncharacterized. NCBI's taxonomy places the organism in Eukaryota, Metazoa, Chordata, Actinopteri, Clupeiformes, Clupeidae. The record is from RefSeq and is a predicted model, not a curated record. The transcript has 3 exons.
UCAUUCCGCGGCGUCAGCCUCUCCAAGUCUCACAGUUACGGGUUACAGAUCCAUUGGUAGGCUCCUCGCCGGGUGUGUGCACAUUGGCUACUUGGCUACUCGUUCUCAAGGAUUUACUAAUUUCUCUUUGAGACGUGUCGUCUUACAAUUUACAAUAUUAUCUAUAACUGUCUCAUACAGAACCUGUCGAUAUUCCUUUCCGCUGGAGACUGUUUGAGCGAUAAGGGAAAUUGUAGCGGAAGAUGGAUGCUUGCGCUCUAGGGUUCUACUUUUAAUGUUGAUUACGGUCUGCUACGUGUAAUUCCUGCCAACAGACGAAAACACAUUUGUUCGGACCUCCAUCAAGUUCGUGGCGCCAGUAAGCGGUGGUUAUCAAUUUAAAGGUUCACCAGGUUAGCUUACAGGGCACGUAACUAGAUAUAGCCUGUGCUAAGAAUCUAAAUUCUCUUAUUUAAUCAAACUGGGCAAAACAUUUUAUUCAGUGGGAAUAAUAUGCAAUUGAGUGCUAGUUCUGUACCCGAAUGGCCAGUCAGGUGCAGUCCUUGUCAUCACGCGAGGCACAUCUGAAGACCCCGAACCGGGCAGGUUGCUGUUGAUAACCUACGGACUGCACAGCAUAACGUGGCUGAUAAGGAUUUUCUUGGAAGUGGGUGGUUUGACUGGAAGGCGCGGAAUACCACACUGGAGCAGCCACAAAGUGCUGGCGGGAUAACAGUGUUUCCCUGCCGGGCUUGUCUGACCCAUCGUUACGUGUUGGCGGGAACCACACCACGCCCACGCCAACACCUGUCCAUCCUCGGUUGAAACCAAGAGCAGCGUCCGCCUGCCAUGCGCCUGCACCCCGGGUUGUGAGGGCAGCUCGUUUCCCCGUCGCAGGACACAGCAAAUUGCCAAAUGGUGUGUGGCGACCACCUGUGUUCCAGACUGCAUAAAUAACGAGAAAGGUGCUCCACUGAGGCUCCCUGACUGACACAUCAGAGAGACCCC